RNAcentral lists this ribosomal RNA (253 nucleotides) under uncultured bacterium. RNAcentral's name for it is "partial 16S ribosomal RNA". It matches the Rfam family "Bacterial small subunit ribosomal RNA", at positions 524 to 776 of the family's 1533-position model. The record is from RNAcentral.
UACGUAGGUGGCAAGCAUUAUCCGGAUUUAUUGGGCGUAAAGGGAACGCAGGCGGUCUUUUAAGUCUGAUGUGAAAGCCUUCGGCUUAACCGGAGUAGUGCAUUGGAAACUGGGAGACUUGAGUGCAGAAGAGGAGAGUGGAACUCCAUGUGUAGCGGUGAAAUGCGUAGAUAUAUGGAAGAACACCAGUGGCGAAAGCGGCUCUCUGGUCUGUAACUGACGCUGAGGUUCGAAAGCGUGGGUAGCAAACAGG